Molecule: transfer RNA, 82 nt
Filed under: Snodgrassella alvi wkB2
Lineage: Bacteria; Pseudomonadati; Pseudomonadota; Betaproteobacteria; Neisseriales; Neisseriaceae
Description: tRNA-Leu
Rfam family: tRNA
About the family: Transfer RNA (tRNA) molecules are approximately 80 nucleotides in length.
Source: RNAcentral
GCGGAUAUGGCGAAAUUGGUAGACGCACCAGAUUUAGGUUCUGGCGCUGAAAGGCGUAAGAGUUCGAGUCUCUUUAUCCGCA